This is a long non-coding RNA of Enhydra lutris kenyoni (northern sea otter), 432 nucleotides long. RefSeq lists it as uncharacterized. The transcript is spliced from 4 exons. The record is from RefSeq and is a predicted model, not a curated record. NCBI's taxonomy places the organism in Eukaryota, Metazoa, Chordata, Mammalia, Carnivora, Mustelidae.
AGGUCCUGGGGCUGACACCAAGGAGCCAAGAAACAUUUCUACUAUGCAAAGGAAGAAGGCAUGUUGGCAUUUCCAGUGAAUUUAAUUUCCUAACACCAAGUCUUCUUGUGACUCAGGAACAAAUCUCAGAACAUGAACAUUUUCUUGCCUCUUCUCCAGGUAGUAGAUGCGGUUGGCCUCCGGGUAGGUGACUUUGUUGAGCGGAAGCUUGUAGAUGGCCGGGUUGUUGGUCGUCAGCAGCAAGAAGGUGGUUUGAUGCCAUCCAUACACCGCUUGCAAGGUCCAACAUACGGAGCAUCUGGAACCCACUAUUAAGACUCAUUUGUCAUCCCUCCCCAAAAAAGAGUUGCCUCCCCCAAAUCCCACUCCAAACCUACUUGUGUAUCAUUACAUUUGUGACACCCAAUAAAAGGUCAAGGAAAGUUCUGGGCC